RNAcentral lists this long non-coding RNA (209 nucleotides) under Callithrix jacchus (white-tufted-ear marmoset). RNAcentral describes it as "lncRNA (ENSCJAG00000068562.2)". Lineage: Eukaryota; Metazoa; Chordata; Mammalia; Primates; Cebidae. The record is from RNAcentral.
AUGCUUCCACCACUGUCAGAAUAUCAGACGCUGUGUCUAAGAAGGGAGACUGUCCAACAGAGAACCCCGCUUCCUGCUGCACAGCAGCUGGCCAUUUUGACGAAGACUUCGUCCUGUGAUGCUAAUACCUGGAUCACCUAAGGUAAGGUUUGUAUUGGGAGCUCAUGCCUGGACAGACAGAACUUCAAAGCGAUGACUUUGAAAGCAGU